UGUACAGGGGACAUCAGAAAAAGGGAGAUGGUGGGUCCUCAUCUGCCAUCCAUUCGGACAAACCUGGUGCCCAUGAGGUGGGAGCUGGCAGCCAGGUCUGCAAAAUGGGGAGGAGGAGGAAGGGAGAGUUCAGGGGAAGGAAUCUGCAUAUGGUGUGUAAUGCUUUUAUGAAUUGGGUCUUUAAUAAUUUACAUUAUCAGUUUAAUACUUUGAAUACAAAUUAUCUUGCCCAUAUGCUGUGCUGACAAACAUAAAAAUGGAGUAAUCAAAGCUGUAAUAGCACUACAGCAAAAAGACAUAAAAUGCCACUAGAAGGCUUAGGAUAAAUUAUUGCAUGCACACACUAGCUCUAUGGCUCCCUGGUGCCAAAGGAUGCAUUGCAAUUUCUUCCUCAGACUUUGCAUUUGGGCUUGAGUGCUGGUGCAGUUCCAGGGGCACUGCUCGAAAUUCUGUGAGGCGGGCAGUGGUUAACAAGGAAGAGAGGAAAAAAAAAAGGCUCGGACCUGUUUGAUAAACACUGCAAUUUAAAUUCUGCUCUGGCACUACAUGGACUGCAAAGAAAAUAUAGCCCUGUUAUUUGUAGGGAGCCCCCUUCUUCCUCCAGCGGGGUUAUUUGCAUGUAUUAUAAACCGCAGUGUUGGCUUGCCAUCUUCAGGCAGCUGCCACACACUGCACAGCAUCCCUGUCCAUCCCUGCGCUUGUUGGAGGUGGUGGGUCCAGCCUGGGUGCUGCAAGGGAUGCCCAAGGGAAGAUCCUUGCUGCAGCCUGGCACCAGCUGACCCAGGCAACUGGCAGCAUCAGUCCAGGGAAAACACGAGUUUUGCCUCAUCCCUGUGCUUAAUCCCAAGCUCCGAGGGGCUGGAGGAGAUGGGAGAAGAUGAAACAGCCCCAGGCACUUGGUGCUCCAUCCUGGCCACCCUUGGGCUGCAGUUUAGGCAUGAGGGAAUGGUAUGGGUGGGCCUGAAGCUUGUAUGUGCUGGAGGUGACUUAGUGGUUUGCUUUUAGCAGUCUGGCAUCUUUUGUCGAUGUGUGCAGGUGUAUUGGGCAUCCCAAAGGACAUGGGGCUGAGCAGGUUUGCAGAGCAGAGACAGGAGUUAUGCUCGCAGGGAAGAGCUGCUGUUUGUAGGUGUGAGUGGGCCAUGUAUUGUAGCUUGUGGCAAAGUCCCUGCUUUUUAAAUACCAGUCAAUUCAUUGGUGCCGUAUCUGAAAGACAUCCCCCCUGCAAGCUAAUCUUUCACAGAAGGAGCCAUUUAAGGCUUGCAUUUGCAUAUGCUGAAUUUCUCAAUUAUCAAGGUUACUCCAUGCUGUAAUCCAUUUUGUGCUUCUAAAAUGAUCAGUGAAAAAUGAGGCUUCUUCCUAAAAUCAUCAACAAUGGAGGGAAUGGAGCUUUUCUGGAAGGCACGAGGCUCUGGCGGUAGCAACAUCUUUCCCAAAAGGCCAGGGAACUGGGGCAGGCUCAUUCUGCCUUGCUUAAACUCAUUGGAAAUGACCCUGAAAGCCAAACCCCUUGCACACAAAUGUGUUUUUCCCAUCUUUUCUGCUCCUGGGUUCUGCUGCCAGCUGUCUUUCCAGGAUGUGGUGCCAGUGGCCAGGGUGUAGUGCACCCCAAGGGCUAGGGUCACCUGUACUUGGCUUGGCCACUAAUGCAGGUAUCAGGACACAUGUGCUGAGAGGAGAGGGUGCCAGUGUUUGGGGAUCCAUGUCCCAGGAAGUUGGGGCACCCAGGGCUGCAGAAAGAGAGCAUCCUCCUUCUGCCCAUCCUACCUAUCUCCCUGCUCCGCCUUGCUCCUUGUGCCCUCCUCUGUGCACCCCUGAAGCCUGGUUUUGCCAGUGAACAGGGGGUUUUGGAGAAGCCGCAGGUGCUGCAGCCCCACUCAGUCCCCUGGCCCUGGGGAGUGGCCACAGGCAUGCCAUGACCCCAAAAUCCUCAGUGCAAAGAGUUACUUAGAGCCUCUCCUGCCAGGGGCAAUGGGGGCCACCUGGGUGGGCAAAGGGACCUGCAUGAGUCAGGAUGUGGAGACACAGAUGGACAUUCAGUCUCCACCAGAAGAGCUUUUCCCAUUGCCAGAUCUUCUGGAAAAUAAGGCCCUCACUGAUCCUUUUCCUCUGCAAAUAAAUUGGAUGGAUCAAGACCACAAUGAGAAAUAUCCCCAUCCUCAUCCAGAGAGGGAUUUUCAGCAUAAAAGCCUUUAUAUGACUCAUAGACUAUAACAUUUAUUUCCGCACCCGAGGUAAAUAUUUCCCCCUCUGAAUGUCUAAGCAAUGCAAUUUUGUUUGAAGCCUCCAUUUCUUUAAGUCUGGAGAUGACAAUAAUUCACCUGUUUUUCCUUCCCAUGAUUCUUCAAGCAAUGGAGAGCCAAAAGAGAGCAAACUCAGCUCUGGCUCUUUGUCUCUUGUCAGCUCCCUCCCUCAGAUAUGCUCAGACGAGCUUUGUCCUGGAGUUUACAUGUGGGCACCUUCUGAUCUCUGGCCGUUGGUAAAUGGCCCGUGUUUCCUGCUUAGAGGAAGAAAUAAGCACACCUGUGUGCAGCCACUGCCAGGGGAGAGAGACAUAACUUAAUUUACCUGCAGAUAAAUCAUGAUUUCACAGCAAUCUGCUGGCCACAGGUUGUUCAGAGUCCUGUCUCCUUGGCUCUAUAACAAUACCUGUCACUCAGUAUCGCAAAGAGACCCGCUUGUGACCGGAGAUCAUUGAUGACUGAGGAAAUGGCUGGAGUUGUAAACACCAUCAAUCUGGAGAAAACUAAAUGCACCUGGGAGCUGAUGUUGGGUGAGAGUGCAUGGGAUGUGUCUGCAUAGGAUGUGUCCUCAGGCUGUGUGGGUCCCCAGCUUUGGACUUCCCCCAGGGCUGUUGCCACCUGAAGCUCCUGGCUUUGGUGCAGUCUCUGAUUUUCAGCUGGUGGCACAUGACAUCUGAAGCAGGUGCUGUCCCUCCUGCCCCCUGCUUCCACCCAGGGCAGCCCUGAUCCUCCAGCAGCUCCCAACACUGCUCCCCAGGACCCUGCCCAUCCUUGGGUUGGACAUGUUGGUGUCCAAGCCUCAAAAUGCUAACUCACAUAGGCAGUUUCUUUUCCUUUCUGCCUCUUUCUUCCUUUUUCUCUUUUUAAAGGACACUGGAUCCAAGGCUGUCGUGUAGUGCUGAUGCUAUUAUUGUUAGCAGUUAUUUCUAUUUCCAUAGCUCCUAGAGGCAGAAAACAGAGUUCUACUGGGUUAAAUGUAGCACAUGCAUAAAGACAGUCUGAGUGCCAAACAACUUGCAAACUUCUUCUUAACAUAAGGAAUAUAAAAUUAAGAUUACUAUAGCAACAUCUUGCUCACGUUGCAUACAGAUAGGAUUUGUUGGUCUUUAUAUAUAUGUGUGUGUAUGUGUGUAUAUAUAUAUGUAACACAUAUACAAACCCUAAAUAUUGCUGGCAACUUUUCCUGGUGUUGAAUUUAUAUUUAAUUUCAAGCUCAUUGUCUGUAUCUCAGAUCUGUGUUGCUCCUUAAGAUCUACAUCCAGCUUUUCUCCAACAAGCCUUGUCUUCUCCUUUGGGCUCCUUUGUGUAUGCUGUGUGCCAGGCUUGAGUCCCUUCCACCUGAAGAGAGUGCUCAACCCCUGGCCAGAAGCAGGGACAAACCCUGAUAGGGAGGGGUGUUCAUUCCAUCUAUCAGGGGUUUUAUUUUAAAUGUAUGCAAUCCUGUUAAACUUCAAAACUGACUUAACAUCUCCAAAUCUGCUUUCUUCAGUCUGAUAGUAGAAAAGUGGGGUGAAAUGUGCAAAUCCCUCUUCUCUCUUCCCAUCUCUCUUCUCUCAAAUUAUUAGUUCAACUUUAAGUGAAAUUUUCCAUGAGUUAUGAACUACAGCUCUCAUUUCUCCUCCACAACUGAAUAAAACCUGGGCCCAGAAAUGCCUGUGGGAAGGGCAGAGCACACCCAGGAGUGGAGAGCUGAGGGAAAGGCUGCAGGAGGACGGAUGCUCCUACAGUUCAGCAUCACUUCAACUCCCCAGGAAAGCUGCAGAAAUUUCACCUUGUUGCAGAGUGACUGUCACUUGGAGAGAUGCCUGUGCUACCACUCAGCCGUAACCCAAGCAGCCCCAGCAGCUCGCACAGCAACCAGGCUGCCUUCUCUCUGAUUGGGGAUUUUUUUGAGCAGGAUUCAAGAAGAUCAUUGAAAAAACCCCACAUUUCAUCCUAGCACCUCGACAGCUGGCACAGCACAGGAUGCUGCCUGAUGUGGCUGGUGGUGAGGGCUACUCCAAUACGCCAGAACAAUGUGUGUCCCCAGGGUCACAAAGCUGGGGUCAAGCCACUGAAGAUGCUGCAAGGAAGAGCUUGGGUUUCUCUGCACAUGUCAGAAGGGCUGGAGUUAUCUGCUAGCAGAAGCUGUACAAAUCCCAUGCAUAAUUCAGCUACUGCCAUACAAAUCAUCCCACUAGUAAAAGCCUUUCCAGAAAUCACGAUUUGAUCGCAACAAACUUUGACCCAAAUGUGCCGCUGCCGACAGCCCCGUGUGGUGGGUUUUAAACUUUUGCCGUCAGUUCCUUCCGAGAGGCAAAGGAAAUCUAGGUCACCCCCUUUGCUUGUUUGUAACGAGGCUAAUUCUGAUUUCAUUCAUGUUGCAUCCUUGAGUUUGAGAUGGGGGGCAGAGGGAAAGGAGAGAUUUGAAAUGGCGAGUCAGCCUCAAAGUCAUUCUUCUUAAAUCCCAUCUCAGAGCAAAGGAAGUGGUUUGAUGUCGCAUACCAAGGCAACAUUGAUGCUGUCACUGAAUAUUCAGGGUAUGAAAGGAAUACAAAGUUUUCCUUCUUUCCCUUUUUUUUAAAUUUAGAUUGCAGUGUUAAGCAGCUGAGCUGAAUGAACAGGCCUGUGUUGGCGGCUUCUUGAGCAAUUAACCAAAAAGCCUGUUCUGGGCGAGUGAGCUGCGCGCUCUGCAUGAGGCUGCUACUUCAGGGACAAAGAGGGGAAGUGGCUGAACACAAGGUUAUUAGUUUGUCUGGAGUUUCUGUGCAAGCACGAUGGCAUAAAUAGAGCUGCUUGUUUGUUGAUCUCUGCAAUGGCAGCUCUGGGCAAGCUGCUGUAUUCAUCUAUUUACUGCUGAAGCAACUUGGGCUUUUUUUUCCUCAGGACUGGGAUUCUCUUCGGCUGUGCACAGGACAGCUGUGUUGCCUCUGCAGUAAAUAGCUGUGCAGUCCAAAUGGACAAGAAAAAAGUUUGGGAGAGAGGAACUACUGCUGUAUGUGUUUGGCUGGAGAUAAUGGUGGUUCCUCCUUUGGUAAUGGUUUGGAAAUAGCUCUGCUUCCUGGCCACAUGCUGGAUUUAAGGCAGAGAGGAGAGGCGGAGGGGAAAAGGUAUUGGUCCUUAUUUUGAAGAUAAUAGCCAUGAUGCACAGAGGGACUAAAUGGCUUAUGUUACCUGUAUUUGUCAGCUCAAGGAGUCUACGGCUGUGCACAGGAAUGAACCUCUGGUGUCUGGAGUCUACACCAGAAUCUCAAACAAGAAAACCAGACUGUGCUGGAAAGGCACAUGCUGGAGCUCUCCAACAGCUGAGCACCAUGUCCUGGUGGCAUUAAAACACUUCAGGUUGCUGGUUUUGAUACAGGAGGCAGAAGAGACCUCUGAACCCUCAUGUGGUCUGCUCAGGGGUGGAGGAAACCCACUCUGCUCAUCAGUGGGGGCAGCCCUGCGGGGCUCCUCCACACCCUGUCAAGGGCAGCAGCCAACGUGGCAAACGAUUGAUUAGCCGCGUUUUGGCGUCUGCUUCUGUGUGUCUCCCAAAGGCCACUGCUUGAGUCAAAAGGCCCACUUAUUGUGAAAUUACAACUUUAAUUGGCUGUUGCCUUGGCUGUAAAUAAAUAUGAGUACUCAGCCAAGCUGGUGUGGUGGGAGGGGAAGGAUUUGGUUUCAUUCAGCAUCUUUGUGCUGUGUUUGUGGAUCAGGGGAGCAGAGCAGGUGCUCGGGGAACACAGGCAGAGGAGACGAGUGAGCGUUUCUGCUUGGGGACCUUUGUGUGACGAACCACUUCAUGCUGUAAAAUUGCUUUUUGAGCUCACUGGGAGUUAUUUGCAGCAAGGAAACAACUGACCUGCCCUAUGGUCCUGCCUGGUGUCUGCUUUUGCAGGGUGGGAGCUACAGUUCAAAGAAAAUGUGCCUGCAUCCUCUCUGCCACUGAUACAUUCUGUGUAGAAAUUCAGGGGAAGGUUUCCUGGUGCCCCAGUUUUCUAUGUUUUUCCUUUCUUCCCUCUCAUAGCUCUUCCUUCCUUUGAAGCUGGACAUCAAAACACCUUUGAAUGAGCUUGUGUUGGGAUUCUGAAUUUCCCAGCAUGGUGUUCCUUAUCCAGAGCUAACUUACUUGUUCUGGGGGUGCUCAGGAGACCACUGAUUAUUUUGGUAGGCACAAAGAGUUUCCUGGGUCUGGCUAAAAGGAGUGGGCAGGUCACUGUUGCUAAGUAGGCUCAGUCAAAAUGGUAAGACAAACUGACCUUAGAUAUGUCAAAUUCAGCACAAUAGUAUUUGUGGAGAACAGCCAUUAUUUUGUAUGUUUGACAAAGGUUAAUUGUCUCUGACAAAAUCAGUGUAGUAGUCAACCUGUCCCUGUAUAGCAAGAAAAAAAAUCCUUCACUUAUAAGCAAUUUAUUAAGUAUCAUUAAAGCUGUCUCUGAAGACAAAAUAA
Molecule: long non-coding RNA, 6651 nt
Organism: Apus apus (common swift)
Lineage: Eukaryota; Metazoa; Chordata; Aves; Apodiformes; Apodidae
Exons: 2
Source: RefSeq, a predicted model, not a curated record